UGGGAAGCAGCUACAUUCAGGACUGCUGGU
RNAcentral lists this non-coding RNA (30 nucleotides) under Macaca fascicularis (crab-eating macaque). RNAcentral also lists the same sequence under 1 other name. Lineage: Eukaryota; Metazoa; Chordata; Mammalia; Primates; Cercopithecidae. The record is from RNAcentral.